CACGUAGUUAGCCGGGGCUUCUUAGUCAGGUACCGUCAUUUUCUUCCCUGCUGAUAGAGCUUUACAUACCGAAAUACUUCAUUGCUCACGCGGCGUCGCUGCAUCAGGGUUUCCCCCAUUGUGCAAUAUUCCCCACUGCUGCCUCCCGUAGGAGUCUGGGCCGUGUCUCAGUCCCAAUGUGGCCGUCCACCCUCUCAGGCCGGCUACUGAUCGUCGGCUUGGUGGGCCGUUACCCCACCAACUACCUAAUCAGACGCGGGUCCAUCUUACACCACCUCAGUUUUUACCACUGUACCAUGCAGUACUGUGGUCUUAUGCGGUAUUAGCAGUCAUUUCUAACUGUUAUCCCCCGUGUAAGGCAGGUUACCCACGCGUUACUCACCCGUCCGCCGCUCAGUCACAGGAAUCUUCAUCCGAAGAAUCGUAUUCUUGUGCUUCGCUCGACUUGCAUGUGUUAGGCACGCCGCCAGCGUUCAUCCUGACGCCAGGAUCAAACUCUAC
RNAcentral lists this ribosomal RNA (501 nucleotides) under uncultured Dorea sp. RNAcentral's name for it is "partial 16S ribosomal RNA". The record is from RNAcentral. Lineage: Bacteria; Bacillati; Bacillota; Clostridia; Lachnospirales; Lachnospiraceae.